RNAcentral lists this ribosomal RNA (402 nucleotides) under bacterium. RNAcentral describes it as "partial 16S ribosomal RNA". It matches the Rfam family "Bacterial small subunit ribosomal RNA", at positions 355 to 776 of the family's 1533-position model. The record is from RNAcentral.
UGGGGAAUUUUGCACAAUGGGGGAAACCCUGAUGCAGCGACGCCGCGUGAUUUAGAAGGCCUUCGGGUUGUAAAAAUCUUUUCUAUGGGAAGAAAAUGACAGUACCAUAGGAAUAAGGACCGGCUAAUUACGUGCCAGCAGCCGCGGUAAUACGUAAGGUCCGAGCGUUGUCCGGAAUCAUUGGGCGUAAAGGGUACGUAGGCGGGUAAGCAAGUUAGAAGUGAAAUCCUAUAGCUCAACUAUAGUAAGCUUUUAAAACUGCUCAUCUUGAGGUAUGGAAGGGAAAGUGGAAUUCCUGGUGUAGCGGUGAAAUGCGCAGAUAUUAGGAGGAAUACCGGUGGCGAAGGCGAGUUUCUGGCCAUAACCUGACGCUGAGGUACGAAAGCGUGGGUAGCAAACAGG